CCGGAUUGGGCUGGAUUUGGCCUGCUGGCAGUUCAUCAGACCACUGCACUGCGAGGCACUACAAAGAGUCUAUUUUGUUUCAGUCGAUUGAAAAGGAGGCCUAAGUACUGGGUGAAACGAAUUUGCUCUCUUUUCAACUGUUUCCAAGGGUGGCC
RNAcentral lists this long non-coding RNA (155 nucleotides) under Mustela putorius furo (domestic ferret). RNAcentral describes it as "lncRNA (ENSMPUG00000024431.1)". The record is from RNAcentral. Lineage: Eukaryota; Metazoa; Chordata; Mammalia; Carnivora; Mustelidae.